UCUAAGGGCGUUGAAGCAUGAUCGUAAGGACAUGUGGAGCGCUUAGAAGUGAGAAUGCCGGUGUGAGUAGCGAAAGACGGGUGAGAAUCCCGUCCACCGAUUGACUAAGGUUUCCAGAGGAAGGCUCGUCCGCUCUGGGUUAGUCGGGUCCUAAGCUGAGGCCGACAGGCGUAGGCGAUGGAUAACAGGUUGAUAUUCCUGUACCACCUAUAAUCGUUUUAAUCGAUGGGGGGACGCAGUAGGAUAGGCGAAGCGUGCGAUUGGAUUGCACGUCUAAGCAGUAAGGCUGAGUAUUAGGCAAAUCCGGUACUCGUUAAGGCUGAGCUGUGAUGGGGAGAAGACAUUGUGUCUUCGAGUCGUUGAUUUCACACUGCCGAGAAAAGCCUCUAGAUAGAAAAUAGGUGCCCGUACCGCAAACCGACACAGGUAGUCAAGAUGAGAAUUCUAAGGUGAGCGAGCGAACUCUCGUUAAGGAACUCGGCAAAAUGACCCCGUAACUUCGGGAGAAGGGGUGCUCUUUAGGGUUAACGCCCAGAAGAGCCGCAGUGAAUAGGCCCAAGCGACUGUUUAUCAAAAACACAGGUCUCUGCUAAACCGUAAGGUGAUGUAUAGGGGCUGACGCCUGCCCGGUGCUGGAAGGUUAAGAGGAGUGGUUAGCUUCUGCGAAGCUACGAAUCGAAGCCCCAGUAAACGGCGGCCGUAACUAUAACGGUCCUAAGGUAGCGAAAUUCCUUGUCGGGUAAGUUCCGACCCGCACGAAAGGCGUAACGAUUUGGGCACUGUCUCAACGAGAGACUCGGUGAAAUCAUAGUACCUGUGAAGAUGCAGGUUACCCGCGACAGGACGGAAAGACCCCGUGGAGCUUUACUGUAGCC
RNAcentral lists this ribosomal RNA (875 nucleotides) under Staphylococcus aureus. RNAcentral describes it as "partial 23S ribosomal RNA". It matches the Rfam family "Bacterial large subunit ribosomal RNA", at positions 1240 to 2111 of the family's 2925-position model. The record is from RNAcentral. Lineage: Bacteria; Bacillati; Bacillota; Bacilli; Caryophanales; Staphylococcaceae.